This 254-nucleotide ribosomal RNA is filed under the name uncultured bacterium. RNAcentral's name for it is "partial 16S ribosomal RNA". It matches the Rfam family "Bacterial small subunit ribosomal RNA", at positions 524 to 776 of the family's 1533-position model. The record is from RNAcentral.
UACGGAGGGUGCAAGCAUUAAUCGGAAUUAUUGGGCGUAAAGGGCGCGUAGGCGGGUAAGUAAGUUAGAUGUGAAAUUCCGAAGCUCAACUUCGGAGCUGCAUUUAAAACUGCUAAUCUAUGAGGUAUGGCGGAGAAAAUGGAAUUCCACAAGUAGCGGUGAAAUGCGUAGAUAUGUGGAAGAACACCUGUGGCGAAAGCGAUUUUCUAGCUAUAACCUGACGCUGAGGCGCGAGAGCAAGGGGAGCAAACAGG